Mizuhopecten yessoensis (Yesso scallop) is the source of this 350-nucleotide long non-coding RNA. RefSeq lists it as uncharacterized. The record is from RefSeq and is a predicted model, not a curated record. The transcript is spliced from 2 exons. Lineage: Eukaryota; Metazoa; Mollusca; Bivalvia; Pectinida; Pectinidae.
UGAUUUAUUGAAGUCAACAAAUACACCAAUCAUAUUUUGGAGAAGCCGUUCCAAUAUCGAUAACACACGAUUCGUGCAUACUUUCAUAUCACACAAAAGUGACUCCAAUUUAUUCAAUACCACGGUGCCACUCCUAGAAUGCUUAAGGAGACUUAGGAAAUGAUGUCACGCUCCAUUGAACUUCCGGUUAUGACUUUACACGUGUGUUAAAUGAGGCGUGACACCAAUAAAAGACUGAAAGUAAAUCGCAAAUCAAUUUUCAUUUCUUUUAACAAAAACAAAUAUAUGCAAAUAGAUAGAAGAUAUCUGGAAAAGAUAUGACAAUUGCUUGAAGUGAAUAUAAAAAAAAA